GUGUCAGCAGCCGCGGUAAUACGGAGGGAGCUAGCGUUGUUCGGAAUUACUGGGCGUAAAGCGCGCGUAGGCGGUUUUUCAAGUCAGAGGUGAAAGCCCGGGGCUCAACCCCGGAAUUGCCUUUGAAACUGGAAGACUUGAAUCUUGGAGAGGUCAGUGGAAUUCCGAGUGUAGAGGUGAAAUUCGUAGAUAUUCGGAAGAACACCAGUGGCGAAGGCGACUGACUGGACAAGUAUUGACGCUGAGGUGCGAAAGCGUGGGGAGCAAACAGGAUUAGAUACCCUAGUAGUCC
This 292-nucleotide ribosomal RNA is filed under the name uncultured bacterium. Its description in RNAcentral is "partial 16S ribosomal RNA". It matches the Rfam family "Bacterial small subunit ribosomal RNA", at positions 505 to 796 of the family's 1533-position model. The record is from RNAcentral.